UACAGAGGGUGCGAGCGUUGUCCGGAAUCACUGGUCGUAAAGGGCGCGUAGGUGGCGGCAUAAGGCCGCGGUGAAAGUUCGGGGCUCAACCCUGAAUCGGCCGCGGCGACUGUGUCGCUAGGGCACCGUAGAGGCAGAUGGAAUUCCGGGUGUAGCAGUGAAAUGCGUAGAUAUGCGGAGGAACACCGAUGGCGAAGGCAAUCCCCUGGGCCUGCACUGACGCUCAUGCACGAAAGCGUGGGGAGCAAACAGG
This 253-nucleotide ribosomal RNA is filed under the name uncultured bacterium. RNAcentral's name for it is "partial 16S ribosomal RNA". It matches the Rfam family "Bacterial small subunit ribosomal RNA", at positions 524 to 776 of the family's 1533-position model. The record is from RNAcentral.